Molecule: non-coding RNA, 23 nt
Filed under: Arabidopsis thaliana (thale cress)
Lineage: Eukaryota; Viridiplantae; Streptophyta; Magnoliopsida; Brassicales; Brassicaceae
Source: RNAcentral
UAACGUCCUGCCAAACCCGUCCU